RNAcentral lists this ribosomal RNA (365 nucleotides) under uncultured Pelotomaculum sp. RNAcentral describes it as "bacterial SSU rRNA". It matches the Rfam family "Bacterial small subunit ribosomal RNA", at positions 1019 to 1382 of the family's 1533-position model. Lineage: Bacteria; Bacillati; Bacillota; Clostridia; Eubacteriales; Desulfotomaculaceae. The record is from RNAcentral.
GGGUGGACAGGGAGGACAGGUGGUGGCAUGGUUGUCGUCAGCUCGUGUCGUGAGAUGUUGGGUUAAGUCCCGCAACGAGCGCAACCCCUACGUUUAGUUGCUAACGCGUGAAGGCGAGCACUCUAGACGAACUGCCGUUGACAAAACGGAGGAAGGUGGGGAUGACGUCAAAUCAUCAUGCCCCUUAUGUUCUGGGCUACACACGUGCUACAAUGGCCGGUACAGACGGACGCAAAGCCGCGAGGUGGAGCAAAUCCUAAAAAGCCGGUCUCAGUUCGGAUUGCAGGCUGCAAUUCGCCUGCAUGAAGUCGGAAUCGCUAGUAAUCGCAGGUCAGCAUACUGCGGUGAAUACGUUCCCGGGCCUU